Molecule: non-coding RNA, 241 nt
Organism: Bemisia tabaci
Lineage: Eukaryota; Metazoa; Arthropoda; Insecta; Hemiptera; Aleyrodidae
Source: RefSeq, a predicted model, not a curated record
UUCCAGAAAUUCUCAUUAAAAGCUCACGUGCUCCGUGCGCAGGGACCGGGAUAGCAAUAUAGCAUACAAGAAAUAAACAACGCCGACGCCGGGAUAGUGUUGCAAUGUUGACCGAACGGAGCAGGAUGAAAUCAGGAACUAUAUCAUUCAAAUCAUUCGGUUUUUACACAAAAACAUGCGAAAAUGUAGAAUGUAAGGAACAAUCUUCUGCAUUGUAGUGCUAACUUACAAUUAGCGCGAU